RNAcentral lists this unclassified non-coding RNA (1099 nucleotides) under Helichrysum rosum. Its description in RNAcentral is "contains 5' external transcribed spacer, ETS". Lineage: Eukaryota; Viridiplantae; Streptophyta; Magnoliopsida; Asterales; Asteraceae. The record is from RNAcentral.
GUUGCGUCACGGGUCGAUUUGAACACGACUUAUGUGUGACAAUAUACUCGAUGUCGAAGGCAUUGUAACCCAACGAGUGGGGAGUUUGAUUUGGUUGGUACAAAUCAAACGAUCUGCGGUAGCAGCGAUAAUGACGUGGUGUGGAUGCAGGUUGAUCCAUGCGCCGAAGUUGUUGUUACUUUGUCAUGCUAAUGAGAUUUGUCAACUGUUACGGUGAUGUCAAGUUGUUUGGGGAUCCUAGCUGCCUUUGAUCUUAGUUUUACGCUUAACAGAUAUCUUCAUGAGGCCUGCACUAUCGGUCCGGUUGUAUGGCAUGUUCUCGUUUGAUUUUUGCUUUACGAUCGGAUUGUAGGUGUGACCGAUGACAUGAUUUGGCUUGUUAAUCAUAAAACUGUGGAUGACAACUUGACGUUGUUUCGUUUGUUGAUGAAUGUUGUUGCAUGGCUGCUUUGAUGCAUUGUGAUGACAUUCGUCUUGAGGUGAUGCGGUGUCAUUUUGCCUGUGUAUCCUGGUUUUGAUCUGUUUGGGCUUAAAACCCGUGGAUUAGCGGUUGGUGAUAUGGCAUCGCUACCUUGGUUGAUGAAAGUCGUCCAAUGUUGCUGUGCCUUAUUUGUUUUCUUCUCGCAUCGCUCGGUGCAUUCUGGGGUCAUUUUGGCUGUUGGCAGCUCGCUUGGUAAUUAAGCUUGGUGGGUUGCUACUAGUUGGGUGUCUUCGGGGAUGUCUACCGUAAAGGUGCAUGAGUGGUGUUUGGUUUGUUACGGGUGGUUGGCUCUUUGCUUGCGCAACAACUUCUACCCGGCAUACCUCUUCAGUCUUGUGUCAAUGCUUGUAUUGCAUUGAAUGCACGGUGGGUUUCUUGUGUUGCAUUCCUAAUUAAUGGUAUCGUUUGAUGAAUUGGCUUUCCAUUCGUCUUGCGUCGCCUAUGCGAUGUGAUAUGAACCUUGAAGUAACCUUUGUGAUCCACUCUUUUGAUGCAUAUGCAUUGAUUUUGUGGCCCAUUGAGUGUUGCUUGGUCUCAUGGAUAUGGAACCUGUUGUGGGCAUGGAAUGCUUAAUGGUUCCUUGUUUGCCCAUGUUUAGCUUUUCUAAAACGAGUGUCU